GCGGCCGUGGUCUAGCCUGGUUAGGACACCGGCCUUCCACGCCGGUAAUCCCGGGUUCAAAUCCCGGCGGCCGCACCA
RNAcentral lists this transfer RNA (78 nucleotides) under Candidatus Geothermarchaeota archaeon. RNAcentral describes it as "tRNA-Gly". It matches the Rfam family "tRNA". Rfam says of the family: Transfer RNA (tRNA) molecules are approximately 80 nucleotides in length. The record is from RNAcentral. Lineage: Archaea; Thermoproteati; Candidatus Geothermarchaeota.